This 1381-nucleotide ribosomal RNA is filed under the name uncultured bacterium. Its description in RNAcentral is "16S ribosomal RNA". It matches the Rfam family "Bacterial small subunit ribosomal RNA". The record is from RNAcentral.
UGAAUGCUAGCGGCGUGUCUAAGGCAUGCAAGUCGAACGAUCCACACGAGAGUUUACUUUCAUUGUGGAGAGUGGCAGACGGGAGAGCAAGACAGUGGUAACCUACCUCGAAGACAGGGACAACUGCCGGAAACGGCAGCUAAUACCUGAUAGUCUAUGCAGCUCAUAGGAGCAGCAUAGUANACACUCCGGUGCUUCGAGAGGGACCUUUGUUCCAUCAGCUUGUUGGUAAGGUAAUGGCUUACCAAGGCUACGACGGAUAGCGGGUGUGAGAGCAUGGCCCGCCUCAUUGGAACUGAAACACUGUCCAAACACCUACGGGUGGCUGCAGUUCGAGAAUCUUCCUCAAUGCCCGCAAGGGUGAAGGAGCGACGCCGCGUGCUAGAUGAAGUCUUUCGGGAUGUAAAUAGCUUUUAUAUGGGAAAAAAUUUGUGNAUGGUNCCAUAUGAGUAAGGGGCUGCUAACUUCGUGCCAGCAGCAGCGGUAAUACGAAGGCCCCAAGCAUUACCCGGAAUUAUUGGGCGUAAAGAGCUAAACGGUGGCUUGAUAAGUUGGUUGUUAAAUAUCGGAGCUCAACUCCGAAACUGCAACCAAAACUAUCUGGCUAGAGGACGGUAGAGGUCAGUGGAAUUGCUGGUGUAGCAGUAAAAUGCGUUAAUAUCAGCAGGAACACCAAAAGCGAAGGCAGCUGACUGGAACGAUCCUGACACUAUAAUAGCGAAAGCGUGGGUAGCGAAUGGGAUUAGAUACCCCAGUAGUCCACGCCGUAAACGAUGGAUGCUAGGCAUCAGAGGAUUCGACCCCUUUGGUGUUUGAAGCUAACGCAUUAAGCAUCCCCGCCUGGGGAGUACGGUCGCAAGACUAAAACUCAAAGGAAUUGACGGGGACCCGCACAAGUGGUGGAGCAUGUGGUUUAAUUCGACACUAAGCGUGGAACCUCACCCGGUCUUGACAUCUUCGGAAAGCACCAGAAAUGGAGCCGUGCCUUCGGGAACCGAAUGACAGGUGAUGCAUGGUUGUCGUCAGCUCGUGCCGUGAGGUGUACCCUUAAGUGGGGUAACGAGCGCAACCCUUAUCCUAUCNUACAUAUUCAUGGGAAACUGCCGCCGAUAAGGCGGAGGAAGGUGGGGAUGACGUCAAAUCAGCAUGUCCCUUAUGACCGGGGCGACACACGUGCUACAAUGGGUAUGACAAAGGGACGCCAAACCGUAAGGUGGAGCAAAUCCCACAAACAUACCCCCAGUUCGGAUUGAGGGCUGCAACUCGCCCUCAUGAAGUUGGAAUCACUAGUAACCGUAUAUCAGCCAUGGUACGGUGAAUACGUUCUCGGGUCUUGUACACACCGCCCGUCACACCAAGGGAGCCGGUAAUACCCGAAGUC